This 720-nucleotide ribosomal RNA is filed under the name uncultured bacterium. RNAcentral's name for it is "bacterial SSU rRNA". It matches the Rfam family "Bacterial small subunit ribosomal RNA", at positions 8 to 725 of the family's 1533-position model. The record is from RNAcentral.
AGAGUUUGAUCCUGGCUCAGAUUGAACGCUGGCGGCAUGCUUUACACAUGCAAGUCGAACGGUAACAGGCCUUCGGGCGCUGACGAGUGGCGAACGGGUGAGUAAUGCAUCGGAACGUGCCCAGUCGUGGGGGAUAACGCAGCGAAAGCUGUGCUAAUACCGCAUACGAUCUAUGGAUGAAAGCGGGGGACCGUAAGGCCUCGCGCGAUUGGAGCGGCCGAUGUCAGAUUAGCUAGUUGGUGGGGUAAAGGCCUACCAAGGCGACGAUCUGUAGCUGGUCUGAGAGGACGACCAGCCACACUGGGACUGAGACACGGCCCAGACUCCUACGGGAGGCAGCAGUGGGGAAUUUUGGACAAUGGGCGCAAGCCUGAUCCAGCAAUGCCGCGUGCAGGAAGAAGGCCUUCGGGUUGUAAACUGCUUUUGUACGGAGCGAAAAGGCUCUCUCUAAUACAGGGGGCUCAUGACGGUACCGUAAGAAUAAGCACCGGCUAACUACGUGCCAGCAGCCGCGGUAAUACGUAGGGUGCAAGCGUUAAUCGGAAUUACUGGGCGUAAAGCGUGCGCAGGCGGUUGUGUAAGACAGGCGUGAAAUCCCCGGGCUCAACCUGGGAAUGGCGCUUGUGACUGCACAGCUGGAGUGCGGCAGAGGGGGAUGGAAUUCCGCGUGUAGCAGUGAAAUGCGUAGAUAUGCGGAGGAACACCGAUGGCGAAGGCAAU